This 349-nucleotide long non-coding RNA is filed under the name Lonchura striata (white-rumped munia). RNAcentral describes it as "domestica (Bengalese finch) lncRNA (ENSLSDG00000003099.1)". Lineage: Eukaryota; Metazoa; Chordata; Aves; Passeriformes; Estrildidae. The record is from RNAcentral.
AACCUGGUUUCUCAAGUUAAAGCACGGAACUCCCAGGACUUAAUCCUGAAUUUUGUUGUUGUGCUUUAACCCCUCAGGCCCCCCAGCCUGGACAUCAAACACGUGAUGGGAUUAUCUGACUUGAGGAAAAAACUGCCAGAAGCUGCAUUUGGGAAAAAAAAUUACACCGGGAACGAAGUCUGCUUUCAGGGGGUUUACUCCAGUCUCUACGAGGUGGAAAUAUCCAAGAAGGAUCAAUCCCGAAUGGAUCAGCUGGUGGAAAAUCUGGUGGAGAAGGACUUGGUGAGUGUUUUUCUGGGAGAAAAAUCCCAUUUUUGGUGUCGUUACCCACAGCCCAUGCAGCGUGGAG